Molecule: long non-coding RNA, 1616 nt
Filed under: Triticum aestivum (bread wheat)
Lineage: Eukaryota; Viridiplantae; Streptophyta; Magnoliopsida; Poales; Poaceae
Description: long non-coding RNA (TAES_LNC015498)
Source: RNAcentral
AGGUGCUUCUUCUGUAACUUAGUGUAUUUGGCUCUUCUCAUUUCCUGGCGAGCUUUUUAGUCUGUACAGUUGAAUCGUUGGAAGUUGUUCUCUACUAUCUAUAGAGGUUUUAUCCAAAGUAUUUGCUACCUGACUUGCUUUUUUGAAAUACACUGUCCUGAUAGACAUAUUUCCAUGGGAUUUUAGAAAAAUAUAUGUGAAUUUGCAUACAUUUUCUAAAUUUCUAUCUUUACUUAUCCAUGCUUCCCCAUAAAUAAAUAGCAGGCUCAACAAAAAUGAAUGUUCGCUUGUGUUCAAAUUUCAAGGAAGUGUGCUUCACGCUUCUCUUUCUGCAAUAUGUUUCAGAGUAUAUGAUUUGAUUUUCCUACUUUCUCAGUUACAAUACUGUGUACUUCAUUCCUAGCUUUGCUUUAGGAAAUAGGUAUGCAGGUUAUCGAAAGCUCCAUUUUUCUCCAUUAUAUAGAUUAUAUAGCUUUGUGAUCGAAGGUAGGUUGUCACAUAGGGGAUGUUGCUUGUGAAAGUUAUAUACAGCCAUGUGUCCCUGACAAAAUAAUCGCAGCUCAUGUCAAAAGGAUCAGGGAACCUCAACCAUUUUUUCUGAAACAUGUCUCAGCUCAUGUUCCUACUUUCCCAGCUACACUACUACGUACUUCAUUCUUACCUUCGCUUUUGGAAGUUACAUUCUUUCUUUUCCCUCAUACACUUGCUAACGAUAUUGGCGAAGUAAUCCCCACUUCAGAUUUCCCAUUGAAUGAAUAACUAAUUUAGAUUGUUCAAAAAUUGUAGGUAGAUGAGUAGGAGCAAGGCAUCACACUCCAGCUCUGAGAAGAAAAGGAUAUGAAGACAAAGAUAGAUGAGUGUUCUGGUCCGACGCAAAAACAUUUUGCGUGUAAUAAUGAACUGUAAUUUACCACAAUCUCUCUAAAACAGGCCUACUUAUUACCAGUCCGUUGCUUGCUUUUGUAUUAGGAAGUAUGACUCAGUCAUAUAUAUUUACAUUCACGUUGUUUAGUUAUGGUUUGUAUGCAUGAAAAUACCAUUUUAAUCGAGCUUGAAAAUUCUUUUGUGUAGUGAAAUUGUAUCUAGCAGUUUGUAAAGGGCAAAUGAAACACAUUUCAAAUAACUCUUUAGUCUAAAUUGACACCUUGUGCCAUUAGACAUCAUAAUCAUAAAUGGUUGCUAAAGAGUUUGAAUUGGUAAAGUGGUUGCAUCCGCUGUUACAAGUCUGGAAUGUUCCUCCGUGCUAGAAGCUAAUUUAAUUUUGAUAACACUUCGUGUUUGAAAUGGACAUUGUGCUGUUUGGUGUAAUGGGUCAUUUGUGUAUGCAGAGAAAUCAGAAAUAAUAGGAAAGGAGAAAUCUCAUCAGUUGAGUAUGCUUCUCUCGCCCAAAUGAGGAACCCAGGAAGAAAAGGGGAUAAGUAGGCACUGUGUAUGUAGGCGUGACUCCGAACGGUCCACACAAAUUGUUCCUGGACCGGGCUAGGUAGCAUAUGUACCUUUCACAUACCUGUGCCUCCAUAUGCACAACACAGAGAGGUUUUUCUUUGGGGCACAUGAAAAAUAAAAGUUUAUUGCAAACACUGCUAAAAAAUACAUCCUUAACUGGUCUAUAGAUA